GAAGAAGAAGAAGAAGAAGAGGAGGAGGAGGAGGAGGAAGAAAGGAAAAAAAAUUGGGGAAAAUCUAAUUGAAGGAUCGGGGGACGAGUCUCCACCUCAAGGUUGAGAAGGAGGCGUUUCGCUUUUGUUUUUUGGAUCUCUAAGGUAAUUGAAGUAGAGUUUUGGUCCACUACUGGUCUGACAAGCUGUAGGAGCGAGGACGAGGGUCGACUUGGUGUCCUUUUGGCAUAGUACAUUUGUGAUAUCAAUUUUUGGAGAGUUGUCG
Long non-coding RNA from Rhododendron vialii, 265 nucleotides. RefSeq lists it as uncharacterized. The record is from RefSeq and is a predicted model, not a curated record. The transcript has 3 exons. Lineage: Eukaryota; Viridiplantae; Streptophyta; Magnoliopsida; Ericales; Ericaceae.